This 253-nucleotide ribosomal RNA is filed under the name uncultured bacterium. RNAcentral's name for it is "partial 16S ribosomal RNA". It matches the Rfam family "Bacterial small subunit ribosomal RNA", at positions 524 to 776 of the family's 1533-position model. The record is from RNAcentral.
UACGGAGGGUGCAAGCGUUGCUCGGAAUCAUUGGGCGUAAAGCGCACGUAGGCGGUUCGUUAAGUCGGAUGUGAAAGCCCUGGGCUCAACCCAGGAAGUGCAUACGAAACUGGCGAGCUUGAGUAUGGAAGAGGGUCGCGGAAUUCCCGGUGUAGAGGUGAAAUUCGUAGAUAUCGGGAGGAACACCAGUGGCGAAGGCGGCGACCUGGGCCAAUACUGACGCUGAGGUGCGAAAGCGUGGGGAGCAAACAGG